This 340-nucleotide ribosomal RNA is filed under the name uncultured soil bacterium. RNAcentral's name for it is "bacterial SSU rRNA". It matches the Rfam family "Bacterial small subunit ribosomal RNA", at positions 26 to 394 of the family's 1533-position model. The record is from RNAcentral.
AGAACGAACGCUGGCGGCAUGCCUAAUACAUGCAAGUCGAACGAACUCUUCGGAGUUAGUGGCGCACGGGUGCGUAACGCGUGGGAAUCUGCCCCUUGGUUCGGAAUAACAGUUGGAAACGACUGCUAAUACCGGAUGAUGACGAAAGCCCAAAGAUUUAUCGCCAAGGGAUGAGCCCGCGUAGGAUUAGCUAGUUGGUGAGGUAAAGGCUCACCAAGGCAACGAUCCUUAGCUGGUCUGAGAGGAUGAUCAGCCACACUGGGACUGAGACACGGCCCAGACUCCUACGGGAGGCAGCAGUAGGGAAUAUUGGACAAUGGGCGAAAGCCUGAUCCAGCAA